Molecule: ribosomal RNA, 468 nt
Filed under: uncultured bacterium
Lineage: Bacteria
Description: partial 16S ribosomal RNA
Rfam family: Bacterial small subunit ribosomal RNA
Source: RNAcentral
GACGAACGCUGGCGGCGUGCUUAACACAUGCAAGUCGAACGGAAAGGCCCUGCUUUUGUGGGGUGCUCGAGUGGCGAACGGGUGAGUAACACGUGAGUAACCUGCCCUUGACUUUGGGAUAACUUCAGGAAACUGGGGCUAAUACCGGAUAGGAGCUCCUGCUGCAUGGUGGGGGUUGGAAAGUUUCGGCGGUUGGGGAUGGACUCGCGGCUUAUCAGCUUGUUGGUGGGGUAGUGGCUUACCAAGGCUUUGACGGGUAGCCGGCCUGAGAGGGUGACCGGCCACAUGGGGACUGAGAUACGGACCAGACUCCUACGGGAGGCAGCAGGGGGGAAUAUGGCACAAUGGGCGGAAGCCUGAUGCAGCAACGCCGCGUGCGGGAUGACGGCCUUCGGGUUGUAAACCGAUGUCGCCUGUGACGAAGCGUGAGUGACGGUAAUGGGUAAAGAAGCAACGGCUAACUACGUG